This 440-nucleotide ribosomal RNA is filed under the name uncultured Anaerolineaceae bacterium. RNAcentral describes it as "bacterial SSU rRNA". It matches the Rfam family "Bacterial small subunit ribosomal RNA", at positions 925 to 1382 of the family's 1533-position model. Lineage: Bacteria; Bacillati; Chloroflexota; Anaerolineae; Anaerolineales; Anaerolineaceae. The record is from RNAcentral.
ACAAGCAGCGGAGCGGUGUGGUUUAAUUCGAUGCUACACGAAGAACCUUACUGGGUUUGACAUGCAGGUGGUAGGGAACUGAAGGGACCGACCUUCGGGAGCUUGCACAGGUGCUGCAUGGCUGUCGUCAGCUCGUGUCGUGAGAUGUCCGGUUAAGUCCGGUAACGAGCGCAACCCCUGCUGUAUGUUACAAGUGUCAUACGGGACUGCCGGUAUAAAGCCGGAGGAAGGUGGGGAUGACGUCAAGUCAGCAUGGCCUUUAUGUCCAGGGCUACACACACGCUACAAUGGUCAUGACAAUAGGUUGCAAAACUGCGAAGUGGAGCCAAUCCUGAAACAUGGCCACAGUUCAGAUUGCAGGCUGCAACUCGCCUGCAUGAAGCUGGAGUUGCUAGUAACCGCGCGUCAGCUAUAGUGCGGUGAAUACGUUCCCGGGCCUU